UGCAAUCUUUUGCCUAUUUGGUUAGCGUGUUUCUUAUCUUGAUUAUUGUAGCUAUUAGAAUUGUUGGAUCUUUUGAUAUUUGGUCCUCGAUCUGACAAGUAUUACCUUUUUGAUAAAUAACUUUGUAAAACUGCAUCAUUCAGUUCAUUUCUUAGGUCAUCUCUAGUAGUAGUUAAUUUUAAGUCAAGAUUGAAGUUUUAAUAGUAAUCUAAGGACUGUACAUCUUGGUUAUUGUCUUAUUGAUUAUACAAUACAUAUUAGAGGAAAUUACAAGUGCCUUAAACAACCUACUGAAAUCUACGAUUACAUAGAGGUGUAGCCAUGGUUGAAGAUCAGGGCCAGAGCCAGAUUUGGACCAUGCUCUGAGCUGGCAGUUUUGCUUUGUGAUGUUAAUCAACACAUUUUCCCUCUUAUCUCUAUACAUCUUUACUGGUCCUAUAAGCGAUUCUGCAGGGUUACCAUGAUAGAUAAUUUUCUCAGAAACACAAAUCCGGGAGUACAUUUGUUCUGGGAUGGGGUGAAUUUAUUGGAGGAGACUACCAGUAAGUACUAUCUUUCCUUAAUGCCUGAUUAUAUCGCUGAAAUUAGCCUCGCCGUGCAUUUGUGCUGUCGUGCAUCGCUUUCGUAGGAGAUCUUGCAGCUUUCACUCAUGGGCGAUCUUAAUGGAGUUGCUAUGAACCAAAAUGUUCAGAGUAAAUAUCAAGAGUCUAUUCUCCCAUUUAAGUUUCUUCGAAGAAUCAAGAAUGCCAAGUACAGCACAACUUCUAAUUGUUGCUCCGAAUGAAAAAGAGAAAAUCAUCUGAGUAGGGAUUUCUAGACAAGGUACAACCUACAUGUAUAAGUUUUUCAAAGAAGUUAUCAUGCCAGUAUACAUAAAUAAAAUUUAGUUUUACUUAUGUACAUUACUGCUUCCUUAGCAAUUAAAAGAACUAUAUCGAUGUACGCUAUUCAUGAUGCCUCUCUGGAUGUUUGGAACAUACUCCCUCCGUUCCUUUAUAUACGGUGUAUUUGUUUUUUGAUAAAAUUGCACAAUGUAAGGUGCAUUUCUUUUAAAUCCUCAUAAUUCCCUUUUUAUCCCUCCAGAAAGAGGAAAGUAUAUCUCUCCUUGUAUCAAAAGAAGGAAAUUAUCUCUCCCUCGAUUGCAUGUAUCUCUUACUUUCCUGGACUCAUUGAUUUACUUGCCACUAACCAAUAAAUUUGCCAAGGGUACUUUUGUCCUAACACAAGUGUGUGGUCACCGUGCUCAAAAUAAUACACCUUACAUAAAGAAACGGAGGGAGUAUAUCUCAGCUCACUUCUUAGGUGUGCUUUACCUGUACUAUCAUAUGCAAUACUUUAUUUUCCAGUUGUUAAGUUUUCGCCACACAUAUUUGAACAUUUUCGUAGGUGAACAAAUGCCUCAUUUGGAGCGAUUAUAGGCUAACCAAGUGUACUGGAAUUACUUAAAUGCUCUUAAAAUAUAUUCGUUAACACUUCAAAUUUAAUAUCAAUAUUCCAUUGGAUCUUCAAAAAUCAACAUCUAAAAUGUAAAUGUAUUGUUCAACAUUUGAAGCUGUAUUUUCUAUUCAUUUGUACAGUUAAUGAUUUUCUUUGAAUCUACUCAUGGAAAGCGCAAAGUCCCGCAGCAACGCGCGGGGUAUCAAUACAAUACACCAUGCAGCCAUGAGCAGGAUAUUUGAAGUCUUUGUCCCUGACUGAGCUCGAGGGACCCUCAUACUAAUAAUGUCUUCUUCUUUAUUCGGUUCAAUAAUGUCUUCAAGCGUCAAAUUUUUUGUGGGCAAAAAAAUGAGGCUUGAAAAGAAACCACGCAUUCCAUUAACUAUGUAAAGCGUCAUUGCUCCCGUUCUGUCCAUAGUUGAUGCCUCUUCUAUUAUUUCAUUCAUGCAGCUCUAGGUUUGUCCUUGCUUUUUUUUUUGAACGACAACUACACAUUCCAUUAACCAUAGAGAUUACAGGACACAAACAUGUGGAAAUCACACCAGAUCUCGAUGCGCCUCAACAUAUUGUCCCCUUUCGGUCUCCGCUGCCACCAUAUAGCCAACGAAGAUAGAAAGGAUCAACCACCAGACCCUGAACUGUAGGAGCACCAUCGCAGAUUGUGCUGUUUUUCUAGCCGGUGAAAAACAUCUGCUUUUUGAGGUCUGGUUUUGUCCAUACUUCUUAUGCUCUUCGACAUUUAAACAACAUAUGCGUGAUAUCCUUGUAACCAUUUUAAACCGGCAAGAGCUAUUAUUGGUGAUAUGAUGGUUUGCUAUCACCCCUAGGCAGGGGAUCAAGACAUGGCUGGCGUGCAAUCCGUUUGUUUAUCUUAGCCGUAAAGUUUAAUUUGUAUGUGCUCUUCUGGACCGGGCCAGCUUGGGAAUUAAAAAAAACAUGUCUGUCCCUAAAAAACAUGUUUCCAAGAAAAUAUACUCCCUCUGUAAAGAAAUAUAGUAAGAGCGUUUGGAUCAUACUUUAGUGACCUAAACGCUCUUAUAUAUGAUCUAAAUGCUCUUAUAUUUCUUUACGGAGGGAGUACAAUUUUUUGAAAAAUUAUGUACCAAUUCGGAAAACUGAUAAUAUGCCUAUUUUUUCAAAUGUUUGAAGAAAAUCGUCCUUUUUGAGAAAAUAUUUUUUUUAAAAAUGUUCACAAUUUAAAAAAUUACCCACACUUUCCAAAAUAAUUUCAAAAUUUUACAAAAUGUUCGUAUUUUCAAAAAAUCAAUUUUCCGAAAAUUUCCUCCAAAUUUUAAAAAUACCCCUGCUAUAAAAAUAUGUUUAAAAUUUAUUACUUUAAUCUUUUAGAACCGAAUAAAUAACCCCAAAAUAAGUUGGAAAAAAGUUGCACAGUUCGGCUCGAUACAGUCCUGCUCACUAGCAGUUUCCUCGCCACUGCCGGCCCAAGCGAUCGAGGAACUACUUGACGCACUUAGCGUCAAGUAGCACAGAUGCUAUUUAUCACCCGUACUUGUAUACCUAUAAUCUCUACCUAAUAAUAAAGCACACAUCAUUAUUGGUCGUCUGUCGCAUUUUUGAAAAAAAGUACCUGCAAUUUGUUGAAAUCAACAGUCCAUCUUUAAGUCGGGACGAAUUGAUUUUUCCAUUUUACAUAAAACCUUCUGACGUUUAUAUUAACCAACCCGUAGUCCAACAUCAAGUCACAGUGAACCGUUUUCUGAAGUUUUACAUAAAGCACCUAAUAUUUACAUUAAUCAACCGGCUAUCCAUCUAGAGUAAUUUUUUAAAAUAAUCAUAUCUUGUAAACCCUAACUCUAAUUUAACAUGUUAUAUAUGAAAAUUGAUUAGAAAAUGUUUAGAAUCUGAAUAUGAUGUUAUUUUUAUUAUUAACUAUCUUUAAAAAAAAUGCUAUUUAGGGUGGAACCUAAAUCACUGGCGCAUGAUCCGUCAUUCCUUCGUACGCGUCGUUGACUUGUAUUGCGAAUGAACAUGCCGCACGCAUUGCUCUAUGCUGCUUGGCAAGGAGCGAGUGGGGGAAAUGAUUAAAAUGAAUAAAUUACAAACCGUAGGUUGUACUGCCACAAGCUUCUCUCUUUGUACAUGUCCCAUAAUCGAAGACCCUACAUACAUAUUGUUUUUUAUAAAAUCUACACGCGUACAUACCAACAGACUAUACAAUUCUUUUUUAUAGUGAAUACACAAAUAAUUUUUUAUAACAUAUACAUACACUUAUAAAAUUCAUGAACAUCCAAAGCACAUGAAGAUUUAUUUUGAAAAUAUCCAAACAAUUCUUGUGAUAGUCAUGAACAUUAAUACUGAAACCGAUAUAUAGGAUCUUAAUUUGUGUGCAUGUGAUGGUGAAAAAUACAGAUCUUUUUAAAUAGAUUUAAUUUAUAGACGUGGCCUUCUUAGUGUUGAACUGCACCGACUGGUUGCUAUCUGAAUCUGCCAUAGGUGCACGCCAUCAAUAUUACGAGUCAGAACCAAAACUGAAUCGAAAUGAAAACAAUGGCUCGGAUAAAAAAUGUUUACUCUCUCGUUGCAACGCAUGGGUAUAUUUGCUAGUAAUAAUAAAUGGACUAUUGCUGCUAGCGGUACGUCACGGGAAUUGCCCCCGGUGUUUGCACAAUGUUACCUACCAAUGCAAUAUAUAAGUGAUAAAACGUUUCACAUAGGGGAAUCCCCUGCCUCGGCCGGCCCAUGCAGUAGAGACCUCCUAUAUUGCGCUUUGCGCACUAGGAGAAGACACAACGCUAACGCUUGGACUGGCCAUGUCCGGGGGCCUGUUUUUCAAUUUUCGUUUUUUCAUUCUUUUCCGUUUUUGUUUUCUACUUUAAAUAAUUUGGGAUUUAAAAAAUGAAUAAAAAAAUGAGAAUUUUGAAUAAAAAUUUUAAUAAAUCAUAAAAUGUUUGUGGAUUCAAAAAAAUUGAAAAAUAAAUGUUCGGGAAAUCAAAAAAUGUUCAUAAUUUUUCAAAAAUGCAUUGUACUCCCUCUGUUCUUUUUACAAAUUUAAAUGUGGAACACAUAGGGAUGUAUAUAGACAUACUUUAGAGUGUAGAUUCACUCAUUUCACUCUGUAUGUAGUCCGUAGGGGAAUCUCUAAAAAGACUUUUAUUUAGGAACGGAGGGAAUAUUAAAAAAAUGAAAUUGACCGAAAGUUCGCCAAUUCUAAAAAUGUUCAUGAAUGAAAAAAUAUCCUAAAAAUUAAAAAACUGCUCCUGACUUACAAAAUAGUUUAUUUAUUCAUAAAAUAUUUGCUGAUUCAAAAUAUGAUCAUGCAUUUCAAAAAUAUUCGUUUAAUCAAAAGCAUGUUCAAGCAUUUAAAAAAUUGUUCCACCAAUUUUCAAAAAUACUAGAAAAUUGUUUAAAUAAAAUUGUUAACAAUUUUAUUUUUUUUGCAAAUACUAUAAAAUGUUCAUGAAUUCAAAAACUGUUCUUUAUUUUAGAAAAUAUUUGAAAAUUUGAAAAUUGUUCAUGAUUUCAAAUAUGUGCACGAUUUUAAAAAAUAUUCAUGAUUUCAAAAAUUGAGAGUGAUAGUGUAUCUCGGUGAUGCAAAAAAAUGUGGUCACGGCCAUUGGUGAAUAUGUUUUCUCCCGUUGACGCAUGGGCCCUUUUGAUGUUGUUUCACAUGUUAAUAAAUUUUUUAAUGUUGUUUAGGAUGGAACCUUGAUCAGCAAUGCACGUCCUGUCUUUCUUUCGUACCGGUGUCAAUUCAAAUUGAAAUGCCCCGAAAAAACAAAUUAAAGACAAAAAGCAUUAUAGUAAUAAGAUGCCAUGUUGAAAUAAAGUACGCGGACCUAUUGGGGUAUUGAGUCAUGGUUAUUGCGUUAGGGGCGUGUGGUAUUUAUUUUCUACGGUUGCAACGCACGGGUUCUUUUGCUAGUUAUAAUAGGCCUCGUCUAGAUGUGUUACAAUAUCGGGCCGCCCCAUUUUCGUGCAUUCGAGCGUUUCUUGGCUCGCACGCUAUCACAAGCAACAUUCGCUUCACCCGGUCGUUGUUUUUUUUUCUAUUUUUACUUUAGUUAUAUUUUUAUUUAUUUCAUGAUUUUUGUCCAUUUUCUUCGAUUUUCCUUCAUAUUUUAUUUUCUAUUUUUCUUUGUCUUUUUUUUCCUUUUGGUUUUGUUUGUUCUUACAUCAGUUUUCACCUUUUUCCUGUCUUUCUUCGGCUUCCCCCUUUUAUAUUUAAAUUCAACACAUGUCUACAUUUUUACAUAUACAUUAGAAAUGUAGGCAUGUGUAAUAUUUUCCAUAUAGAUGGUUAACUGUUUUAUAUAAUAUAUGUUUUGAUGUUUCCUUUUUUCAUACAUGUUGUAAAUUUUGUGUAUACACUGAAAACAUUUUUUAUAAAUUUUCCACAUUUUGCAAAUACGUUUUUACGAAAACAUGUUUUGAACAUGUUUUCUAAUACAUGUUAAACGUUUUUCAAUACACGCUGGAACACUUUUUUAAUGAGAAAACAUUUUUUUCCUGAACUAUGCAAACUUUGUUUUGACAUUGCACAAACAUUUUUCUGAAAAAAAUUCAAGAACACAUUUGAAACUUGUCAACAUUUUUAAAAUGUAACGUCUAUAUUUUGGUGUAUGGAUUAUUUUUUUAAUUACAUGAACAUACUUUUUACAGGGUUUAAACAUUUUUCAUACACAUGAUUAAAAAAAUUCACGCGCAUGAUUAAAAUUGUCUAUUCUUUUGGAUUCAGAUUUGUACAUUUUUCAUAUACAUCAAUAAAAAUUUUCUAUACACGUUUAGUAAAUUUCAAAUGGAAAAUUGUAAUUAACAAUUAAAAAUUACAUAAAGUUUUUGUUGUAAUAUAUAUAGGAUAUUUUCAAAUAUAAAAUAUAAAAUAAAAUAAGAAAACAAAAUUGUGAAUAAAAGCCAGAAGAAAAAACAAAACAAAACAAAAAGAAGUAACAUGACGUCAGCAUACGAGCCCUGGGUACUAGGCCAGUCCAAAACCUUCCCGCGGACAGUAUGUGCCGCCCGUCAAAUAGGAGCUCCCGAUCUAAAAGAAAAGUCAAAUAGGAGGCCCCAGAGAAUUAGCCUCCGGGGCACGGUAGGCCGCGCGGCUAAAAUUGACGGUAAGAAUGCCCACGCCUGCCUUCCAGGACCAACUAGUUGACAAGCGGUCCUUCAGAAGUCUCGCAACGAUCACUUCCGGUGGGCUGAGAGCGUGCCACUUGACGCGUUCUCAGUCGUCGUCAUGUGUCCCGUCCUAUGCGCUCCCUCUGGAUUUUAUUUUUUUAUUUUUCCGCAUGCGUUUUUGACUUUUUAUAUGUUUUUUAACUUUUCGGUUUUCCAUCGGUCUUCCUUAGUUUUUUGACAAAAAAUAAAAAAAAUGCAUGAAAAAACGUGUUUUUUUCUUGCUUAAGAGGCACGGUUUUGCUUCCACGUGAGGCGUGAUUUUGAAAUGGAAAAAAAUAUGUUUUAUUUUUUUUCUUUCGUGAGAGGCAUGGUUUUACUUCCGCGAGAGCCACGGCCGUGCCUCUCGGAAAUAGAAAAAAAAUGUUUUCUGUUUUUUCUUUCAUGAGAGGCAUGUUUUUUAUUCCGCGAGAGACACGAUUUUGCUUCCAUGAGAGGUACGGAUGUGCCUCUCGGAAAUGAAAAAAGAACGUGUUUUCUCUCUCUUUUUCCUUUCGUGCGAGGCACAUUUUUGCUUCCGCGAGAGACACGGUCGUGUCUCUUGAAAACGAAAAAAAAAUGAUUUUCCUUUUUUUCUUCCGUGAGAGGCACGGAUUUGCUUCGGCGAGAGGAACGGCCGUGCCAGUUAGAAACGGCUUCCGGAAAGGGAAAAAAGUGCUCCAAUUCUGUUUUUUCGUGAAAAAAGUCCGUCAAAACCUAUCAAUAUGGGAUCUAAUUUUAAAGAUCUCAACGCGAGAAAUUCAACGGUGAAAACAAUUUGAAAUGGACGCACAGAUAAACGAACAUGCGAACAAAGAAAAAACUCUUAGGUUGCGACCAGUGGCGCUUAAACAACACGCCACUUGUCACACCCUAGAGAAGAUAAAAAUGAUCUUUGAAAAAAGUACUCCUCCUUCUUGUUUGUCUGACAGGGCACCGGGUUGCCACGCAUAUAUGCGGACAAAACGCCAUGCCUAGCCUUUUCAGAUCGCAUGCAUACUUUGACAAGGAUUUCGUGGAGUGCGUUUGUGCUACUGCUCGAUCAUGGGCCGGCAGCAACUGCAACAGCAGCUCUUUUAUUCAUGGAGGAAUGUUGGGUCUCGAUCAGUGCCAAAAUGAACGUACUACUACUACCACUAGUAUUGAAUUACUUGUUUGAGAUCGAAAGUGAAAUCUCUGACUUGAUUGAUGGUUACAGCCGCUACUUAUACCAUCUGGAGAGACGCGAUCGAAGGGAGGCGUCGGUUCCAGGGGGCAGGAGUGAGAAGCCGUCUGUGCGGGACACACCGCACGACGGUUUGGGCAAGGGGAGAUUUUCCCCUUAUUACAAAUUGUAAUUAAUUCUAACACUCCCCCUAAUCUACACUUGACCAUGUAGAACCAUCUUCACAAUUAUCCGGGAAGCUCUAUCAUCUCAAAAGAUUCUCCUUCAAAAGUUUUUCAUAAAAUCUUUGAUGAGAUCCUGAAACAUAUACUCACAAAGAAAGAUAGCAUAAUGUGAUGUCAUUAAAAUGAGGAUAUCUCAAGAAGAGACUCCCCCUGACACCUGCAAGUCCCUAAGUCUUCGCAUACCAAUUCCAUGAACACAUUUCUGGAAUGUAGAAUUUGGUAGAGACUUGGUAAAUAAAUCAGCAAGGUUGUCGCAUGAUUUGACUUGCAGAAUGCUUAUUUCCCCGCUUUUCUGAAGAUUAUGGGGGAAAAACCAUUUAGGAGAAAUAUGCUUGGUGAUAUUACUCUUGAUGUAUCAUGUUUGCAUCUGCGCAACACAGGCCGCAUUAUCUUCAUAGAUAAUGGUAGGUGAUUUUAUCGAACCCAUUCCACAUGACUGUUGUAUGUGGUUUAUCAUUCUGCGAAGCCAUACACAUUCGCAUGUUGCUUCAAAUAAUGAAAUUAUUUCAGAAUGAUCGGUAGAUGUUGCCACCAGAGUCUGUUUCGAAGACUUCCAUGAUAUAGCAGUGCCACCAUGUAGGAACACGAAGCCGGUCUGAGAUCUGGCAUUAUGGGGAUCAGACAAAUAACCGGCAUCUGCAUAUCCAAUCAUAUCAGAGUCCUGAUUUUUCUGGAACUGGAAAAAUAGGCCAAGAUCCUUUGUGCCUUGGAGAUAUCGAAAGAUAUUCUUCACUCUAGACCAAUGACGUUUGGUGGGAGCUGCGCUAUGUCUAGCAAGUAGAUUCACUGCAAAUGCAAUAUCAGGUCUUGUGCAAUUUGCAAGAUACAUAAGCGCUCCAACAGCACUAAGGUAUGGAACUUCAGGUCCCAACACCUCUUCUCCAUCAUCCCUUGGUCUGAACGGAUCUUUCUCUAUGUCUAGAGAUCGAACCACCAUGGGAGUUUUAGAUGGAUAGGAUUUGUCCAUAUUGAAUUUCUUCAAUAUUUUCUGGAUAUAGGCAGAUUGGUGUACCGUGAUUCCUGAGGGAAGAUGCUCAAGUUGAAUACCUAAGCAAAAUUUGGUUUUACCCAAAUCCUUCAUCUCAAAUUCCAUCUUUAGGUGAUUGCGUGCUUCAUCAAUGUCUGGUGUGCUGCCGAUGAUGUUGAGAUCGUCAACAUACACAGAAAUGAUGCAAAAUCCUGUAGAGGACUUCUUGAUGAAAACACAUGGGCAAUCAGCACUAUUGGAGUAACCUUUCUGAAGAAGGAACUCACUGAGUCGGUUGUACCACAUCCAUCCCGACUGCCUUAAGCCAUAUAAUGACUUAUUCAGCUUUACACAGUACAUGUUGCGUUUUGCAUUUUUAUUCGGGACAGAGAUUCCAUCAGGAACCUUCAUAUAUAUGUCCGAAUCUAGUGACCCGUAAAGGUAUGCGGUCACGACAUCCAUCAACUGCAUAGAUAGACGAUUUUGCACUGCCAAGGAUAUAAGAUAUCGAAAAGUGGUUGCACUCAUUACUGGAGAAUAUGUUUCAGUGAAAUCAAUGCUGGGUUUUUGCGUGAAACCUUGUGCUACGAGCCUUGCUUUAUAUCUCACCACCUCAUUGUUCUCAUUCCGUUUCCGGAGAAAAACCCAUUUGAAUCCCACAGGGAAAACACUGGGAGGUGUAGGUAUUGCUUCAGUGAAUACCUUUCUUUUGUUAAGCGAGGCAAUUUCUGCUUGGAUUGCAUCCUUCCAUUUAGGCCAGUCGGAGCGCUUUUGGCACUCAACGAUAGACCUUGGAUCAUGAUCAGUGAGAAGGGUAUCUGCAAUCUUUUCAGCAAAAUAUAUGUCGACAGUCGUAGUCUUACGGUCAAAUGAUUCUCCAGAAUCAACAUAGUUGAUGGAAAUUUCCUGCACCCCUAGUGACUCUUCGUGAUUUCCCAAUACGAUCGAGUCUGGGUUUUCCGAUGUCCCAGUUAGUUUGUGCAUACUGGAACUGGGUUGUGGAGGUUGCCCUUCCACUGGGUGUAUACUACCCAUCAGGUGUUUGUCAACGUUGAGUUGACCCGCAUUUACUGACUCCGAGGUUUUUUUCCUCGAUUUCCUUUGCUGCCUGCUAGAAGCAUGCUCCGGGUCAGAGGCCGUACUACUCCCCCUCUUUUUAGGAAUAGGGAGUUGAGUGGUUUUUAUUGGUACCUCCACUCUUUCUGGCGCGUUUCUGGCCGGGUUUAAGGAUUUUGUAACACCUUUCAAAUCAGUAAAUGAAUCUGGCAGAUUAUUUGCAAGAUGUUGCAAAUUAAUGAUCUUCUGAACUUGAAGUUCGGUCUCUUGGGUACGUGGAUCAGAGGAUGAAAUGGCAUGAGCAUUCCAAUCAAUUUCCGGGCAUUCUUUCUCGUACUUGAAAUCUCCCCCUAAUGCCGGAAAAUGUUCCUCAUUAAAUAUGCAAUCAGCGUGACGGGCUGUGAACAGAUCCCCAGUCAGGGGUUCCAGGUACUUGAUAAUCGACGGCGAUUUGUACCCCACAUAGAUCCCCAACUUCGUGUGUGGGCCCAUAGAUGUCCGCUGUGGUGGUGAGAUCGGGAUGUAUGCAGCACAUCCGAACUUACGCAGAUGGGAAAUGCUUGGAGGAUUUCCACGCACCAAUUCCAGAGGGGAAGAACUGUGAUAUGCAGUUGGCCUCAAUUGUAUCAAGUCAGUAGCGUGUAAAACAGCGUGACCCCAACAAGAGGUUGGCAAGUUGCAAUUUGUCAACAAAGGUCUUGCAAUGAGUUUGAUCCUCUUAAUCAACGCUUCAGCCAAACCAUUUUGUGUAUGGACAUAUGGAACAGAGUGCUGAACUUCAAUCCCCAAAGCCAUGCAAUAAUCAUUGAUAGCACGUGAGGAGAAUUCUGCAGCAUUGUCCAUUCGAAUUGAUUUAAUUCGACUUUCAGGAUAAUGGGCUUGCAACUUAAUGACUUGCCUCAUUAUCUUGGCAAAUGCAUGGUUUCGUGUGGAUAGAAGACACACAUGUGACCAUCGUGUAGAUGCGUCAAUCAGAACCAUGAAAUACCGGAAAGGUCCAGAUAAUGGCUGAAUGGGACCACAAAUGUCUCCUUGAAUACGUUCAAGGACCUGAAGUGGUUCAGCUUGUAUUUUGAGGUGUGAGGGCCUCAAAAUUAGCUUUCCCGUGGCACAAGAUGUGCACACAAAAUCAGAAGAUUGAGGAAAUUUUGACUCAAGCAAAUUAUGACCAAUGGAAUUGCUAGUAAUUUUUCUCAUCAUCCCUAUUCCAGGAUGGCCUAGGCGAUCAUGCCAGGUUUGGAAUGCGUUAACAUUCUGGAAAAUUACUUUGUAUGCAACAUGUUCCACGGGUUUGAUGUACGUAUAGUACAAACCAGACGAUAGAGAAGGAAUUUUCUCAUGUACCUUUUUGCCAUAUCUGUCAUCUUUAGUAAAGAGUAGAUACUCCUCUUUGUUGUCUUCAUGGGUUUCAAUAUGAAAACCAUUUUUACGGAUAUCUCGAUAACUGAUCAGGGUACAUGCAGAAUCGGGAUACAGUAAAGCAUCCUCAAUGGUCACAUAUGUACCACUUGGGAGGGUGAAUAGGGCACGUCCAGUACCAACAAUCACAGUAUCGCGUCCAGCGAUAGUUAGAAUAUCUCCAUUCGUCUUUUUCAGAGUUUGGAAAUAUUUCAUCUCCCUCAGUAUGGAGUUUGUGGCACCACUGUCCACAAGGCAUAAUUCCUCUUCCAUCGGAUUGUCCUCGUAGAAAACUAUAUAAAACAAAGAAUUUUCAAUAAGAAAACCUCAUAGUAAUAUAUAGAAUACAAUCUUUAUUAUAUCAAAUGUGCUGAUACAAUACAAUAUAAAGACAACAACAAACUUAUGUUCUUAUUACAAUCAUCACAAAUGGACAUAAUUAAGUAGAUCACUAGGAGAUUGAGGGACUAGUCGAAGUCGCCAAACACGUUGUUUGCGGUGUACUCAAUCAACGUGUUCUCCAUUUCAGCAUUAGCCUCAGGCAGAUAAGGAACCAUGGCAUUGCUCGGUCCAGGAGGAACAUCGUGCGAACCACCAGCUCCUUUUGCGCUAUCCGGAUGAAGGUUGAAGUUGGCUUCAAACCUUUUCCCUUGAGGUGCUUUGCGUCCCUGAGAUUGCUGGUACAGCAUAACCAGAUGCUUGGGCAUUGUGCAUUUUUCAGUAGAAUGCGUGGAGCAUCCACACUUGUUGCAAAGCUUAGAUUUAUCAAGCCUGGGCUUUGAAGUGCCUUUUCCCUUGCCUGGGUAUCUAGAUCUCCUGUUCCCAUUGCGCUUUCGCUUAUGCUCGAAAUUGGAUUGUUUACCCCGAGGGGUACCAUUAAACUUUUGUCUAUUUGCAACAUUCAGAUGGACUUCAGGUAAAGGUUGUGCCCCAACUGGGCGCUGAGAGCCAUUCUUAGCAAGUAGCUCAUCAUGCUUUUCAGCCUGAAGUAACAUGUGAAUAAGCUCGGAAUAGACAGUGUAGUUACGAGCACGGUAUUGUUGUUGGAGGAUCCUAUCUGAAGGGAGCAUAGUAGACAAAGUUUUCUCUAUCUUCUCCCCCUCAGUAGGUUCCUUCUCACAAAAGCGCGGUUUGGAACAUAUCUUAUGAACAGCAUGAUUGUACUCACCGAUGGACUUGAAAUCCUGAAGACGGAGAUGAGUCCAAUCAUGUAGUGCUUCAGGCAGGACUACUGCCUUCUGUUGUUCAUACCUCGUUUUGAGGGCCAGAAACAGAGUACUAGGAGAUUCCUCCUGUAAAUACUCAGACUUGAGAUCUGGAUGAAUAUGAUGCCUUAUGAUGAAUAAGGCAGCAUAGUUCUGCUGUUCUGUCAGCGGCGUGGCCCCAGCCGGGAGAGGAGUCUUCGGGGGUUGUAUUGCACGCGCUAUCCCACGGGACGCAAGACUGAUCUUGAUGUCCAUAGCCCAUGUAGGGUAAUUGUGGCCAUUGAGGGCAAGCUCCUCAAACUCUUUGGCAGUCAUCUUUGCCUACAUGGGAAACCAGAGAUAAUUAAUUUACGGGUGGUAAAUUAAAAACCAUCAUGGUUGUGUAAUAAGAAUGCAAAAAUUUGAUACUCAAGUGUAAACUUAAAAAAUUCUCAACCUCAAUUGUGUGAACAUAACACUUUGAAGAUCACUUAGAUCUCACAGUAAUAGGCUACAUCGCCAUUACCUUGUGUAUGCUACAAUUCAGAUAUAAGGAAUACACGUUAGAGGUAAUCGUUUGUCGAGAAUGACAAAGCGUAGACCUCACAGUAAGAGAGGAUAGUCUGCAAAUGAGCAGUAGAUCACAACUCAUUACCUUGUGAUUCCAAAUAAGAUGAGGGAGAAACAUUAAAAAAUUUGCAAGUUUGAUAUGCGAGAGAAGAUCUCAAUCGCAAAGACAUGUUUAAUAAAAAUGUGAUGUGGUAAACACAUGGAACAUGUCAUUCUUCCCAGAUGAAAUCCGGUACUUUAUUUAUAUUAUCAAUCCAUUACAUAAUAUAAACACACUAACAAUUACACAAGUCCUAGUCAGAUUUAAUCUAGAACUGGACUAGUAUGUAAGUAGCAGUCAAACUAGGUACUAAACAGGGUCUAAAACGGCACCAUAUACAAUAAUUAGUACUAGACUAAUAAAAACAGAGAUUAAAAAAAACUUGAAGGGAGCAGGUCGAUCGCCUGGGCCUGCCACCGCCGACCGAGGCCAGCCCGCAGCCACACACACCGCAUAAGAGGAGGCGAGGGGUGGGGCGGUUACGGAUAAGGACCCGUCCCGACCCGACCCGCACCACGCUCGAUCCCCCACCACCACCAGCGCUCGCAAGGAGCAGGGAGCCCAGUCGCCGGCGAUUGGGGCGAGUGCCGGCGCCUCCCCUCGCAUCUCCAGUUGUCAGUGACGCGACACCGACGAGGCCUCUUCAUCUGAAGAGGAGACGACGACGGUGGAGGCCUGGCGCAGUGGAGUAGCGGUGAAGCCGAGGUUCGCCGGAGCCCAUGAGCCUGGGCGACGGCCGGGGCGGCGGUCGAGGGCUGCGACGGCACGCCCAAAGAGGCGGCCGAAACGCCGCUCCGCGCGGCUGCUCGAGCCCGCGGCUGUCUCCUGUUGAGGCGUGCCGGCGGCGGCGGCGGCGCCCUCCAUGCCGACUCCAAGGCGGACGACACCAGAGGCGCCGGAUGGAGCGGAGAUGAAGGCGAGCGCUUCCUCUGCAUUCACCGUCGAGCGCAUCGGCACUGGGGCGUAGCCAGGCGGGCGGAGGCUCGGGCCAGCGGCCACGGCAUCAGGCGUCGGCGUUGACGGCGGGAUCCAUGCGGCCGGCGGAGGGGGUGGUGAAGGCGGAGACCCAGUGGGCAGGGCAGGCGCGGUAGCGGCCCCGUGCAUCAUGGGGGCGCUCGGGCCGGCCACUAGCCAAGGGUCGUACCCCAUGGGCGCCUGGCCACGAGCGCGGGGAGCACCGCAGUGGGCGCGUCCAGGAGCACGGGAACCGUGUCCAGGGGCGUGGUGAGCACCGCGACGGGCGCAUCCAGCGGCGCUGCGGCCGAACCGUCGGAUGGCUUGCAUCUGGCGACGGAAACGCCGGAGUCCACCCACUCCAUGGUAGCGACGACGGUAUCGACGACCAUCCUCGCGGAUCAGGCGGAGGAAGAAGGAAACGAGGUUAGGCAUCUCACCGGCGGCGAGUGCUCCCUCUCUUUUCCUUUCUCUGAUGUUUCUUUUGCUCUCGCUGGCUGUUCUACGUGCGUGAUAACGUGUUUGAGAUCGAAAGUGAAAUCUCUGUCUUGAUUGAUGGUUACAGGCGCUACUUAUACCAUCUGGAGAGACGCGAUCGAAGGGAGGCGUCGGUUCCAGGGGGCAGGAGCGAGAAGCCGUCUGUGCGGGACAAACCGCACGACGGUUUGGGCAAGGGGAGACUUUCCCCUAAUUACAAAUUGUAAUUAAUUCUAACAUUACUGAUAGCACCUACAUUAAGCUACACCGCCCCCUCCCCCUCGUGUCGCCUCCCCCAGGCGGCGCCAGGGGCCCCGAAACCCUAGCGCCGCCAGCACCUUCUUGCCGCCCCUUCCUGCCGCCGCUGCCGCCGGCGUGGGCCGCGGUGGCGGCGGGCCCGGUGCCGAAGGUUUCUGGGCGGGUGGAUGCGGCGGAUCCCAUCUGAGGCGGCAGGGGCGGCUCCUCUCGUGCGAUCCAACGGCGGCGGCUGACGGCGAAUCCGGGCUGUGCGGCGGGGGUCGGAGCACCAUCGCCAGCGGAGCGGCGGCCCUGCAUGGACGGCGGCGGUGGCAGCGCCCCAUCCGGCGGGGUGGGCUGUCCUGGUCGUGAUGGUGAUGGUGGUCACUGCGGAUCCAACGCUCUGUUUGGGUCCGUCGCGGGGAGGCCUUCCGCCGACCGGCGGCGCGUGGAGGGACCGGUGAGGAGAUGCCGGAUCUCCGCCGGAGUACCGACGGCGACAUACGUCUUCGUGGCGAGGUUCCGCUUGGUUCCAGCCAGCCACGAGGUCGGGAAGACGUGGCUUCCGGUGAAAAUCGCGCCUGACUGCGGUCUUGGCGGAUGAUGGCAGCGUCUCAGACGUCGUUCCCUUUUGGAGGCAUCGUCGUUGCAGGUCACAUCAACCUGAUCGGGAAGUUCCGGGGGAAACCCUAGAUCUGGGUAUGCCGGAUCGGACGAUGACGGUGCCUUCGGUAUCGUUCUCCCUCAUGAGGGCAUCGUUUUGGAGCAAGUGCUGGUUGGAGGGGACAAGAGGCGGAGCGGUGUUUCCUCUGCUCCAUUGAUGACGGCGGAUCUCGGCGGCGUGGCGUAGUGGGGACUCGGCGCCUGAUGAGCGGAGAAGGACUCGCGCAGGAGGGUGACGCUGCCUGGCGUCGUGGUGGCGUCGGCGACAGUUAGACCGGGCAAGGUUGAUGCAGCAGUACAGCUCUGAAGAUGGAUUGAUGGCAGGUGGCUGCGGCGGCCUCAUACCCGGCAGGCGUCCUGGUUGAGAAGCACGCCAGACUGAUGGGUGCCCAUACCCGACAGGCGUCCUGGUUGGGACCUCAAGUCUUAGAUGUUAGGUUUGGCCGCGAGGUCUGUUUGGUAUUAGGCCAAGACUUUCAGCGCCCCUACAUCAACUGGAUAGGGAUAGCGACAGAUGUUGCUUAGUUUGAUGACUUUAGGCUUAUUGUUGUAUGACUCUGUAAGGUCUUGUGUCAAUAAUUAAUAAAAUGGCCGUAUGCAUCGUCCAGAUGCAGAGGCCGGGGGUCGUCCUCCUUUUCUAAAAAAAGAAAAAAACCUACAUUAAGCAGCAGCAGAGUAAAAUCUUGGACAACACAUGACUCUAUCCACUACUCGUAACUAAGAAGGAACUAAUAAUUUGAAGAAACCCGAACUGCAAUACACAACAGGGAAACACCGUGUCUGAAAUCUGUCAGCCAUCAUUGAGUCUGGACAUGAAUGAAUGGAAUAAAAAGCAGCUAGCAGGACGUCUAACACAUAAUUAUGUUCCGUUUUGGAAACAAAAAACACAUAAUUAUGUUCCAUCAUCUGGGCAAGGGCGCAGACAGCCGCACCUGUGCUGUGCAUCAACGACCUGUGCCGCGGCACUGCACAGCACAGCACAGACACCCCUCCUCAAGAGUCAAGAUCAUCUCUAGACUGUACUACUACUCACUCUGUAUAUUCCUUCCCUGUUCUCAAUCCUUGUUUGCGUAAGGACUUGUUUGCUUUUCCAAGUCAUGUCUUGUCAGGUGGAAAAAGUAGGCAAAACAUUUAUUUAUUUGUUUUUAUAGCAAAGCAUUCCUUGUUGUGCCGUCGGAGAAAAGCACCUCCGUCUCCGUGUGUGCCUCGUUGCUGCGCGUUUGACUCCCCUUCUCGGCUUUCUUUACCUGUGUCUGUCCAGUCAGUCUACCUUGGUUCAAAAACACCUGCGGCCGGUUCCUUUCUUCCGACGCUUCAAUUCUUCAAUUCAAACUGCUCGCGCGAUCACUCUAGCAGUAUCCGUUGCCGAUGCGUGUUUCUUGUGCGGUGGUCGUGCCCUAAUGAUCUGUCCAAUAUUUGAGCAAGCCAGCAGCACGGUUCUAACAUUCGACGAUUGAAUCUUGAAUCAUCACAUGCUACGAAGUACGACGAACACGGAAUUAAGUUCAAAUCUUGCUGAAAUAUAGCUAGGACAAGAGCGUGGCCCGAUUAGAGUAGAACAACGUUGCUUUCUCCACCGGUCACUCACUAAAAAAAAAAA
Molecule: long non-coding RNA, 17087 nt
Filed under: Triticum aestivum (bread wheat)
Lineage: Eukaryota; Viridiplantae; Streptophyta; Magnoliopsida; Poales; Poaceae
Description: long non-coding RNA (TAES_LNC000357)
Source: RNAcentral